CAAAGAAUAGUUUAAUUCAGAAUCUUA
RNAcentral lists this transfer RNA (27 nucleotides) under Ammodytes personatus (Pacific sandeel). RNAcentral's name for it is "partial tRNA-Pro". Lineage: Eukaryota; Metazoa; Chordata; Actinopteri; Uranoscopiformes; Ammodytidae. The record is from RNAcentral.